GACGAACGCUGGCGGCGUGCCUAAUACAUGCAAGUCGAACGGUCUUUUCUAUGGAAGCUUGCUUCCGCUGAGAAGAUAGUGGCGAACGGGUGAGUAACACGUGGUAACCUGCCCAUAAGAGGGGGAUAACAUCCGGAAACCGGUGCUAAUACCGCAUAACGUAUAUAAAUGGCAUCAUAAAUAUACCAAAGGAGCAAAUCCGGUAGAAAGAUGGGCCCGCGUCCGAUUAGCUAGUUGGUGGGUAGAUGCUCACCAAGGCGACGAUCGGUAGCCGAACUGAGAGGUU
This 286-nucleotide ribosomal RNA is filed under the name uncultured bacterium. Its description in RNAcentral is "partial 16S ribosomal RNA". It matches the Rfam family "Bacterial small subunit ribosomal RNA", at positions 28 to 301 of the family's 1533-position model. The record is from RNAcentral.